This 497-nucleotide ribosomal RNA is filed under the name uncultured bacterium. RNAcentral describes it as "partial 16S ribosomal RNA". It matches the Rfam family "Bacterial small subunit ribosomal RNA", at positions 28 to 507 of the family's 1533-position model. The record is from RNAcentral.
GAUGAACGCUGGCGGCGUGCCUAAUACAUGCAAGUCGAGCGAACGGACGAGAAGCUUGCUUCUCUGAUGUUAGCGGCGGACGGGUGAGUAACACGUGGAUAACCUACCUAUAAGACUGGGAUAACUUCGGGAAACCGGAGCUAAUACCGGAUAAUAUUUUGAACCGCAUGGUUCAAAAGUGAAAGACGGUCUUGCUGUCACUUCUAGAUGGAUCCGCGCUGCAUUAGCUAGUUGGUAAGGUAACGGCUUACCAAGGCAACGAUGCAUAGCCGACCUGAGAGGGUGAUCGGCCACACUGGAACUGAGACACGGUCCAGACUCCUACGGGAGGCAGCAGUAGGGAAUCUUCCGCAAUGGGCGAAAGCCUGACGGAGCAACGCCGCGUGAGUGAUGAAGGUCUUCGGAUCGUAAAACUCUGUUAUUAGGGAAGAACAUACGUGUAAGUAACUGUGCACAUCUUGACGGUACCUAAUCAGAAAGCCACGGCUAACUACGUG